GAGCAGCAUGUCGAGUCUGACGGAGCACGCCGCGUGAGUGAUGAAGGCUUUCGGGUCGUAAAACUCUGUUGUUAGGGAAGAACAAGUACGAGAGUAACUGCUCGUACCUUGACGGUACCUAACCAGAAAGCCACGGCUAACUACGUGCCAGCAGCCGCGGUAAUACGUAGGUGGCAAGCGUUAUCCGGAAUUAUUGGGCGUAAAGCGCGCGCAGGCGGUUUCUUAAGUCUGAUGUGAAAGCCCACGGCUCAACCGUGGAGGGUCAUUGGAAACUGGGGAACUUGAGUGCAGAAGAGAAAAGCGGAAUUCCACGUGUAGCGGUGAAAUGCGUAGAGAUGUGGAGGAACACCAGUGGCGAAGGCGGCUUUUUGGUCUGUAACUGACGCUGAGGCGCGAAAGCGUGGGGAGCAAACAGGAUUAGAUACCCUGGUAGUCCACGCCGUAAACGAUGAGUGCUAAGUGUUAGAGGGUUUCCGCCCUUUAGUGCUGCAGCUAACGCAUUAAGCACUCCGCCUGGGGAGUACGGUCGCAAGACUGAAACUCAAAUGUUUUGUGACCGGGGA
This 563-nucleotide ribosomal RNA is filed under the name Priestia megaterium. RNAcentral's name for it is "bacterial SSU rRNA". It matches the Rfam family "Bacterial small subunit ribosomal RNA", at positions 369 to 920 of the family's 1533-position model. Lineage: Bacteria; Bacillati; Bacillota; Bacilli; Caryophanales; Bacillaceae. The record is from RNAcentral.